CCUAAUGGAACACUUCUACAAUUAGACCGUUGCAUUAGUCUAAGAACCGUUGCUAUAGAGGUACAUAUAGUAACGAUUAUGUGAACCGUUGCGGUAGAUUUCUCUAUGGCAACGGUUCUAUCGAAAAAAAUAGCUAUUGCAACGGUUUAUUUUCUCCCAAUAUUUCCCUCCAAUAAUUUUAGUAGACCCGCCAAAGCUUCUUUUUUUUUAAUGAAAAAUUAAAUACGAAUGUCACUCUAUGUAAACACUUCAGUUUCUUUGGUGGAGGGUUUUCUUCUCCAAUAAGGAACUGAGGGUUUUCUUCUCCAGUAAUGAAGUAAGGAUUUUUUGCACCUGGUUCUACAACUAGUACAAGCAGUCAGUGGUUCAGCUGCUCCAGGGAUUCCCAACAAUAAUCGUUAUCUUUGAAAUAGAGUAAAAUUGGCAAUUUGCGCGUGAAUUUAGUUCAGUUAAAAAUUUGGCAGAGAAGGUCCAGUCUAAUAAUAUCCAGUUUAUUUUGUAUUGCUUGAGGGUUUGAACGUUUAUAGAAGUGCAGGUAAUCUACUAGUUAAAACUUCUCUUGCCUUGAUAUGUCAUAUUCUAAUGCCUUUAAGUCAGUUUGAAAAAAAAUAAAAAACGCAAUUUGAUAAUAUUAGAUUGCAGUGCCUUUGUAUUUCGAACAUGGUGUUUCAUCAGUUGAGAAAUUUUAUCCUAUACCGCAUAGUCUCUCUGUUUAUCCUGAUCCUCCACUAUUAGAUCCCAUGAUAUGAAGUAUACAUUAAGGUUGUUGUGUGAGUUCAAGGACCGUUGUCAUAUACUUUUUAGUAAUUAGUUACCGAGAACUGAGUUCUUGGAAUUUUGCACCCUUAACGUAUGUCCUCUUUUGGAAUUUGCACCCUAUCCUAUAUUUUUUUUAAUGACUUGCACCCUAAUCUCUUUAUUUCUUUGAAAAAUGAUAAAAUCCCUCUCUUUUUCAUUUUUCUUGAGGGGAAAAGAGUAAAGAUAUAAUUACUAUGUCCCAAAAUCUUUGAGAGUUGAAUAUUCUCGACCAAGGUUCAUAUUUGAUUGAAAAAAUAUGAAGCUGACUUCUCUCCAAUGAGCUGAGUUAUAUGAUAGUUCAUAAUUUUGAUCUUGAACAGCUUGUGUCAUAUAAAAUUCUCUAUUCAUAUGUUGACAAAGUGAUCUGAAAAUUCUAGAUAUGCCUUCUAGUAGUCACUACAUAUUGACAUCAAGCUCUAUUUUUGGUUCUUCACUAACAGAUGGCAUUCUAAUUUUUUAUCCGUUCUCUGUCCAGUGAUUUAGCUUACAAAUAAAGCGGAAAUUGUUCAGUAUAUAGCUGCCUCUGUGUGAUACAAACUUAAAUAAAAAAAGGCAUUUUAGUUGUGUUGUUCAAUCAAAUAAGGAGAUCCACUGACCAAAUUUCUAAGUUAUUGAUUGACGAUUACUUUAAAAAGGUUCCAGUAGCAACGUGUCUUAAAUUUCAUGUAGACUGAUGUGAUAUAUUUAAGAAAACCCACUACUAGAAAACUCCAUUAUAGAGGUCAACAAAAUUCUCAACCUUAAACUAGAGAAAUUCAAAGCCUAUUGAAUUUUAUUACUUGCGAAAAAGUGAAUAUUAUGUUAUUGCAUUCAGAUGUAACAAAUAAGAAUCUGUUUUCAAAUAAAAGUGAUUUUUUUUUUUUUACUUUGUUGUUUUUGUUAUCGUGUUUUUAUUUGCUAGGAGCCUUCCUCACUAAAAAAAUAAAGAGAUAUAACGAAGAUUACGCAAAACUGAUUUUUUUAAAAGUAAAGAUUGCAUACUCUUGUUUACGUCAAUGGUUUCGUUGGCUUUUGCUUAUGUCCAUCAAGAUGCCAUGUCGUUUGUAGGUAUUUAACUUUAAUGUAAAUGGAAGUGACUGAGAAGUGUAGUGUGACUGACUGAGUUAGAUGUUACUUUUGUAUAUUUCAGAACUUGUGCGGGCAUUUUCUAGAAAGGUGCUUGUUAUUGGUGCCUUUUGAAGAGUACUUGGAGCUUGAGUGGUGAAAUUGAACAAGGGGAUGAAAGAAGUGAAGAUACAUGAUCCACUAAGGAGGAUUGGGUUAAUUUUUUGGAAAAUUGAAAACUUGUGUGUUCCACCUCUUGAAUGGUCAAACAUUAUCUUGAUAUUUUGCUUUUAUGUAUAUUUCUUGACCUCUUGGAUUAUUAUUUUGGUAUGAUGUUGGAUCUUGUAUUAUUAUGUUGGUAUGAUGUCGGAUCUUGAAUUAUUAUUUUGGUAUAUAUGAUGUGGGAUCUUGGAUUA
This is a long non-coding RNA of Lycium ferocissimum, 2258 nucleotides long. RefSeq lists it as uncharacterized. The record is from RefSeq and is a predicted model, not a curated record. The transcript has 4 exons. NCBI's taxonomy places the organism in Eukaryota, Viridiplantae, Streptophyta, Magnoliopsida, Solanales, Solanaceae.